AGGUCCAUGCAUGUGGGCCAAUGGGGAUAUGGGGGUGGGGGGUGGGGGAGAUGAAGGCAGACCUGAGCUGCAUGGACAGGAACAGUGGCCUAUCAUCGCUCCCUAGUGUCUGUGCUAUUGAAGACGCUUGUCCUGAAGAUGGGGGACCACCUGAAGAGGUGCCCAGGGAACAGACUCCCCUUAAAACUUGACAAGGAUAUUUCCUGGGACCUAGGCCCAGCCUUAUUAGAGCUCUGGAGAUUCAAACUCAGGUCCUCAUGCUUGGGUGGCACGUGCCUCAUCUGCUGAGCUCUUCUAUCUUUUUCUAUUCUCUGGAGAUCUAAUGAAUCCAGGUGGGAGGCUUGCCUGCCUGGUUCUGGUGAAAUCUUGGGUGAACAAGGGGAGACCAGCACCUUGCGACUUCAGGCACACACAGCCCUGCAAAUCAGUUUCCUCUCAGGCCCCUUGUCCAGGCCCUCAACUGAUGCCUUGCUGCCAACCACACUCAGUUUUGCUUCCUUGACCUGCCUUACCUGACUCCUUAGCUCUGACCUGCACCCC
Molecule: long non-coding RNA, 540 nt
Filed under: Mus pahari (shrew mouse)
Lineage: Eukaryota; Metazoa; Chordata; Mammalia; Rodentia; Muridae
Description: lncRNA (MGP_PahariEiJ_G0003889.1)
Source: RNAcentral